CUCAAGAAUACGCUUCAAAUUCUAGCAACUAUAAUUUAUGUAUUGAUUUCUGUUAGAUGAUUUAUUUCAUUUUACUAUUCGCGCCUUCCUUCGUAUUUUAUUUUAAAAUAAAAAAUAAAUUAUUUUCACCUCAAUUAUGAUUUCCAACCGUAAUGAAAUGGUUUACUUAUAUCUAUAUCUAUAUAAUUCCCACAUUCCCACUUCAAAUAUGACAUUCCCACUUCAAAUAUGGCAUUC
This 237-nucleotide long non-coding RNA is filed under the name Lathyrus oleraceus (garden pea). Its description in RNAcentral is "Pisum sativum (pea) long non-coding RNA (PSAT_LNC027053)". The record is from RNAcentral. Lineage: Eukaryota; Viridiplantae; Streptophyta; Magnoliopsida; Fabales; Fabaceae.